GUCGAAACCGAAGUCACCGGGGGCGGAGCCAUCAAGGUAAGGUGGGCGGGGCUGGCCGGGCAUCCAUUCUGCCGACAUGGAGAACCGGGAGGAUGCAUUGCUGGCUCCCGGGAGUGCGAGCGAGCUCGUGAAUUGCGAUUUGGAGGACGAGAGGAGGCUGGGGAACACCACGGCGCAGCCCCGCAGCACGUUGGAGGCCAUCUCUUCUCU
RNAcentral lists this unclassified non-coding RNA (210 nucleotides) under Hevea brasiliensis (rubber tree). Lineage: Eukaryota; Viridiplantae; Streptophyta; Magnoliopsida; Malpighiales; Euphorbiaceae. The record is from RNAcentral.